GUGGUUCGCCGCCAACGACGUCGCGAGAAGUUCACUGAACCUUAUCAUUUAGAGGAAGGAGAAGUCGUAACAAGGUUUCCGUAGGUGAACCUGCGGAAGGAUCAUUG
This 107-nucleotide ribosomal RNA is filed under the name Cerastium fontanum. RNAcentral describes it as "partial 18S ribosomal RNA". It matches the Rfam family "Eukaryotic small subunit ribosomal RNA", at positions 1725 to 1831 of the family's 1831-position model. Lineage: Eukaryota; Viridiplantae; Streptophyta; Magnoliopsida; Caryophyllales; Caryophyllaceae. The record is from RNAcentral.